AGGAUUAACGCUGGCGGCGUGCCUGACACAUGCAAGUCGAACGAGGCCGCAAGGCCUAGUGGCGGACGGGUGAGUAACACGUGACCAACCAACCCCGAAGUUGGGAAUAGCUCUGCGAAAGUAGAGGUAAUACCGAAUACCCCCACCGGGUCACAUGGCCUGAUGAGGAAAUGGGUUUCUGCUUCGGGAGGGGCUCGCGGCCUAUCAGCUUGUUGGCAGGGUAAUGGCCUACCAAGGCAACGACGGGUAGCUGGUCUAAGAGGACGACCAGCCACACUGGGACUGAGACACGGCCCAGACUCCUACGGGAGGCAGC
Molecule: ribosomal RNA, 316 nt
Filed under: uncultured prokaryote
Description: bacterial SSU rRNA
Rfam family: Bacterial small subunit ribosomal RNA
Source: RNAcentral